RNAcentral lists this long non-coding RNA (712 nucleotides) under Ananas comosus (pineapple). RNAcentral describes it as "long non-coding RNA (ACOM_LNC040910)". Lineage: Eukaryota; Viridiplantae; Streptophyta; Magnoliopsida; Poales; Bromeliaceae. The record is from RNAcentral.
AAAGAGAGAAACAUAUUGAAAAUUUAAGCUCCGUAAAAGAAAGAAAGGAAAAAUGUAUAAAUUUAGUGAAAUUUCGCUCUUUUAUUUGUCUAUUAGGUUUGUUUUUAUGGGCCAACAACAUUAGCCUAAUUUUAACUAAACUCAGAUUAUUCACUUAGCCUAUAUAUAAUUAAAAUAUAUGAUAAUAGCAAGGUAGGCAACGGCGGGCAUAUACUGUUACUUUGUAACUUAGAGGGCUUCCCGCUUGGCCACUUAGGGUAAGAGACAGAAAAAGAGAAAGAGAGAAACAUAUUGAAAAUUUAAGCUCUGUAAAAGAAAAAAGAAAAAAUGUAUAAAUUUAGUAAAAUUUCGCUCCUUUAUUUGUCUAUUAGGUUUGUUUUUAUGGGCCAACAACAUUAGCCCAAUUUUAACUAAACUCAGAUUAUUCACUUAGCCUAUAUAUAAUUAAAAUAUAUUAUAAUAGCAAGGUAGGCAACGGCAGGCAUAUACUGUUACUUGGUAACUUAAAGGGCUUCCCGCUUGGCCACUUAGGGUGAGAGACAGAAAAAGAGAAAGAGAGAAACAUAUUGAAAAUUUAAGCUCUGUAAAAGAAAAAAGAAAAAAUGUAUAAAUUUAGUGAAAUUUCGCUCUUUUAUUUGUCUAUUAAGUUUGUUUUUAUGGGCCAACAACAUUAGCCCAAUUUUAACUAAACUCAGAUUAUUCACUCAGCCUA